AAUUCAGGGGAGCCCUUUGUGGCUGAGAGGAAGCUAUGCUUCGACCCUUAUACCUGAUGCGGAUAAUGCCGCCGUAGGAAGAUC
RNAcentral lists this non-coding RNA (84 nucleotides) under uncultured Veillonella sp. Its description in RNAcentral is "TPP riboswitch (THI element)". It matches the Rfam family "TPP riboswitch aptamer (THI element)", at positions 9 to 90 of the family's 105-position model. From Rfam's summary of the family: Vitamin B(1) in its active form thiamin pyrophosphate (TPP) is an essential coenzyme that is synthesised by coupling of pyrimidine and thiazole moieties in bacteria. The previously detected thiamin-regulatory element, thi box was extended, resulting in a new, highly conserved RNA secondary structure, the THI element, which is widely distributed in eubacteria and also occurs in some archaea. Lineage: Bacteria; Bacillati; Bacillota; Negativicutes; Veillonellales; Veillonellaceae. The record is from RNAcentral.